GAUGAACGCUGGCGGCGUGCCUAAUACAUGCAAGUCGAACGCAUUGAGAGAAGUGCUUGCACUUUUCAAUUUGAGUGGCGCACGGGUGAGUAACACGUGGGCCACCUACCUGAUAGCGGGGGAUAACGAGUGGAAACAUUCGCUAAUACCGCAUAACAAUAGAGAAGGCAUCUUCUUUAUUUAAAAGGCGCUUUCAAGCGUCACUAUCAGAUGGGCCCGCGGUGCAUUAGUUAGUUGGUGGGCUGAAGGCCUACCAAGACGAUGAUGCAUAGCCGCGUUGGGAGACCGACCGUGAACAGUGAGACUGAGACACGGUGCAAACUCCUGCGGGAGGAUGCAGUAGGGAAGUGUCCACAAUGGACGAAAGUUGGAUGGAGCAACGCCGCGCGUGUGAUGAAGGCGUUCGUGACGUAAUGGACUGUUGUAUGGGAAGAAAUGCUAAGCUAGGAAAUGUGCUUAGGUUGACGGUACCAUACCAGAAAGGGACGGCUAAAUACGUGCCAGCCGCCGCCGUAA
RNAcentral lists this ribosomal RNA (516 nucleotides) under uncultured bacterium. Its description in RNAcentral is "partial 16S ribosomal RNA". It matches the Rfam family "Bacterial small subunit ribosomal RNA", at positions 28 to 523 of the family's 1533-position model. The record is from RNAcentral.